AUGUACUCCUGCAGCGAGCGAGACCGCUCGGCCGCGGCGGCGCGUAUCAUGGAGUCCAGCGCCAAGUACCAGCCAUGCAACACGGCGGCGACGCGGACGGCCGCCGGCCAGGUCCCCUCGGACGCGCAGCGGCAGCAGCAGCAGCCGUCGCCGCGGCGCGCCAGGAGGAAGCACCCGGCGUCGGCGUCGCGCCGGUCGUCCACCACCGUUGUGGCGACCGACGUGUCCAACUUCCGCGCCAUGGUGCAGGAGCUCACCGGCUUCCCGCCGGCCGCCAUCUUCCGGCCGCUGCCGCGCCGGGCCCACGCGGCAACCACCGCCGGCAGCGUCCGGGGCGUGGUGCAGCCGCUGGCGCACCCGCCGAAGUGCGCCCCGCCCGGCGUGUUUGACGGGCUGCCCGACCUCGGGUCGCCGGAGUUCGACACGUCGCCCGACUUGAUCUUCGAAUGA
This 450-nucleotide ribosomal RNA is filed under the name Triticum aestivum (bread wheat). RNAcentral describes it as "partial small subunit ribosomal RNA". The record is from RNAcentral. Lineage: Eukaryota; Viridiplantae; Streptophyta; Magnoliopsida; Poales; Poaceae.